This is a long non-coding RNA of Dromaius novaehollandiae (emu), 759 nucleotides long. NCBI's taxonomy places the organism in Eukaryota, Metazoa, Chordata, Aves, Casuariiformes, Dromaiidae. The record is from Ensembl.
AAGACCUGUACUUUGAACUGCAGACUGAAGAUCAGGUCCAAGGCAGAUUUGGCUUGCGAGGGAAUCCUGACUACUCUCUGCUCAGUAAAGCCAUUUUCUCUGUGCGUCUUCCCUUGAGACUGAGACCAAACUCCAGACAUGAGGAUGUUUGCAUACCUUCUGAUUGCUCUUCUCUUCUUGGUUUUCCAACAUUUUCCAGGCAGCAGGACUUUCCAUAUAUUGGACACUAUCCAGUGUGGUUUGAGAAGGGGUAGAUGCAGACGUUACUGCCAUGUAAAUGAGUAUCUGACUGGAAGCUGCUUCUAUAAGAAAUACAAAUGCUGUAAGAAAUAUCCAGAAAUAUUCUAUAUUCCACAAAGCUAAAGAAAAGAAAAAGAAGGAGUGUUCUUAGCAUCAAAGAAUUCUCUGCUCUGUAACUUAGUCAUUUAUGAUGCCUCAAUAAUACAUAUAUUUUUUUUUCUUUGCAUUUCCGAUGAUGGGUGUACGUUUUUCUUGUUAUUCUUCUAGAGAUAUUUCUCAUGCUGUUAGAUGCAGCAACUUGGUUUGGGGAAAAAAAUCCUAUUUUMUCUACUAUAGAUACAGCUAAUUAAGACAUUCUGAUAAUGUGCAAGAUUUCUGUUUCUCACACAAAGGAGGAGGAUUCGUAUUUUCUUAAGAUUACAUUUUAUUUCAUUUUAAUUAAUAUGUUAUGAAACUUCUGCUGUAACUUAUCAGUUGUCAUGAUGGCUCAAUAAAAACACAUAAAAAUCAUUUAUGAAA